GUAAGGGAUAUUGCGCAAUGGGCGAAAGCCUGACGCAGCAACGCCGCGUGCGGGAUGACGGCCUUCGGGUUGUAAACCGCUUUUCCAGGUGAAGAGGAAGGACGGUAACCUGGGAAGAAGUCUCGGCUAACUACGUGCCAGCAGCCGCGGUAAAACGUAGGAGGCGAGCGUUAUCCGGAUUUACUGGGUGUAAAGCGCGUGCAGGCGGUCGUGUAAGUCGUGUGUGAAAGCGCUCAGGCUCAACCGGGCGAGGACAGGCGAAACUGCAGGACUGGAGGUAGGUAGAGGCGGGUGGAAUUCCGGGUGUAGUGGUGAAAUGCGUAGAGAUCCGGAGGAACACCAGUGGCGAAGGCGACCCGCUGGACCUGACCUGACGCUCAGACGCGAAAGCAUGGGGAGCGAACGGGAUUAGAAACCCUAGUAGUCC
This 427-nucleotide ribosomal RNA is filed under the name uncultured bacterium. RNAcentral describes it as "bacterial SSU rRNA". It matches the Rfam family "Bacterial small subunit ribosomal RNA", at positions 354 to 796 of the family's 1533-position model. The record is from RNAcentral.